RNAcentral lists this ribosomal RNA (563 nucleotides) under uncultured bacterium. Its description in RNAcentral is "partial 16S ribosomal RNA". It matches the Rfam family "Bacterial small subunit ribosomal RNA", at positions 355 to 1375 of the family's 1533-position model. The record is from RNAcentral.
UGGGGAAUAUUGCACGAUGGGCGAAAGCCUGAUGCAGCAACGCCGCGUGAGUGAUGAAGGCCUUCGGGUUGUAAAGCUCUGUCUUUUGGGACGAUAAUGACGGUACCAAAGGAGGAAGCCACGGCUAACUACGUGCCAGCAGCCGCGGUAAUACGUAGGUGGCAAGCGUUGUCCGGAUUUACUGGGCGUAAAGGAUGCGUAGGCGGAUUUUUAAGUGAGAUGUGAAAACCCUAAGCUUAACUUGGGGACUGCAUUUCAUACUGGAAAUCUAGAGUGCGGGAGAGGAGAAUGGAAUUCCUAGUGUAGCGGUGAAAUGCGUAGAGAUUAGGAAGAACACCAGUGGCGAAGGCGAUUCUCUGGACCGUAACUGACGCUGAGGCAUGAAAGCGUGGGUAGCAAACAGGAUUAGAUACCCUGGUAGUCCACGCCGUAAACGAUGAGUACUAGGUGUAGGAGGUAUCGACCCCUUCUGUGCCGCAGUUAACACAAUAAGUACUCCGCCUGGGAAGUACGAUCGCAAGAUUAAAACUCAAAGGAAUUGACGGGGUCAUAGCUGUUUUCCU